CACUGGUGCCUGCUCCCACACCCACAGUAUUCCAAACGCCCAAGUAAUUCCAAGCAGGCACAGUAGGACUGAAGCUCCUCGAACCGAAGAUCUACAUAAAAUAUACUGAUUAGCAAACUAUAAUUAAAAAUAAAUGAAAAACGCAAACUGGGCCCACAAAGCUCCAGAUAAAGCCGGAGUCGACACGAAGCCAGCAAGCGUGCUCUGUACCAUAUCCUGACGGAUCGACAGCAGCUGAAACAGCGACGAUCACUGCUGGAAUACCUGGGGAGAAAUAACUGGAUUAUUGCUCUGAUAAUAGAAUACGUGAUAUGGGUUGAAAUGUUGCUUGGUAUAGUUAUGUUAUACGAGCCUAUUUGCGUUGUUUUAAUCGAUGCACUUUUUAUGUUUUAUGUGGAUUAAGUCCUGUGACGAGUGAACCAAAUCUAACUUUGGUUGAUAUUAUCAGUGACUAAUGUAGUGUAAAAACCUCAGUUAGGCCUGUCGUUUUUUUUAAAUUUUGCUGG
Molecule: non-coding RNA, 506 nt
Organism: Ciona intestinalis (vase tunicate)
Lineage: Eukaryota; Metazoa; Chordata; Ascidiacea; Phlebobranchia; Cionidae
Source: RefSeq, a predicted model, not a curated record